Molecule: long non-coding RNA, 1891 nt
Filed under: Citrus x clementina
Lineage: Eukaryota; Viridiplantae; Streptophyta; Magnoliopsida; Sapindales; Rutaceae
Description: Citrus clementina (C. clementina) long non-coding RNA (CCLE_LNC006849)
Source: RNAcentral
UCUUAGGUUUUUUUUUUCCUUUUCUUUAUUCUUAGCUCUCCUGUGAAAUAAGUAGUCAAGAUUAAGUUUUAAAUUUUGAUGUUGACAAUCAAACCAGCUUGUUUUAGUUUAUUUAAAAGUAAACGGUUUUUUUCAACAGAGUUUGGAAUACUAGAAGAGACCUGCUUUUUCAACUAUACUUAAAAUAUUAUGAGAGAUAAAGAGAGGGGAAAAAAAGAGGAGAAAAUCAUAAUCCAUUAAAAAUUGACUAAAAACUUCAGGAGAAAAUCAUUUUGUAGCAUGGACCAGGCGAGUUAAAAUGCUGAUUUAUCGUCCAGAAAGGCAACUGAAGCUGGGCCUGCUCUUGUAGUAGACUGGUUGGGUCCUUUUUGGCAAUAGCCUGUCAUGGACCAUCGCUGCGUUACUCUGCGAUUCUGCCUGUGCUCGUUUUAGGUCCAAUAACAUAAUUUCGGGCAUAUGAUAUAUCUACCCCAACGUUUCAAGAAAAUGACCGUGUAAGCUUUACACUUUCAAAACACGACAACCGUACCCCCAUAGUGAAUGAACACGAAAAAAAAAUGCUAACUUUGAAGUUUGAAACAUUAAACUUUAAAAGCACGUGGCAAAAUUUGUCAAGUUGUAUAUUUUAUAUGUUUUUAGUUUUAUAAUCAACUAAUAAUUAGUAUAAUUAAACAAAAUAAAAAGCAUUUUAUAAUUAAGCUGCACAAUAUAAGUGAAAUUUUUUUACUAUCUAAACUUGUUUUUGUUGGGGAAAAAUCCGGUUUUUAAAUUUUUAUUAAACCUUUUGAAGAUCGCUCUCAUAUAAUAUAUAAGAAUUCGUAUUCUAGAAAUCGUACCUUGUAAAUCUGAGUUUGCUUUUUCCGCUGAAGUGAUUUAGGCUCCUAGAUCACGAUCCGCCACCACCACUCCUGUUAGAUCACGAUCCGUCACCACCACGCUUGUUAGAUCACGAACUGUCUCCAAUGAUCUUCCAGGCUAUGACUCAGGUUCGAUCUGCACUUGACGUGUGGGCGCCUUUAUCACUACCAAAGCAACUAGCACGAGAAAAUUUUUCUCUCAACAAUGGAGAGAAAAAUCUUAUUCUCUGAUUUGUAUAAAGUGGCUUAUUCUUCUCCUUUUUGGGAAAAUAAGCCUUAUAUAUCUCCCUUUAGUGAAAACCCUAGGCUCCAAGGAUUCCCCCAAAAUAAAACUCACGUUACUUUUCAUUUAAUAGGGGACCCACCAUGUAAAAUAACAUAAGGCCCCUUACACAUAAGCUUAUUAAAUGGAGCCUCCCACUAAAUGAUAUAUUUAGGCUUUUGACCCAAAUAGCUAGUUAUCUUGCUUAUUAGUCCAGCAGUGGUGCAAUCAAUUAAAUGAGCUAACCCGGGGAUCAUUUGGGAACAUACAAUAGUGGCUACAAUAAUUAGGCCUGUAAUUAAACUAGCCCAAUUAUUUAAUUCCAAAUCUACUCCACUAAAAGAUUGGAACUGACUUCCAUAAUUGUAUGCUCGAAUAAUAAUUCGCCCCAAGCCACAUUGAUUUCUUUACUGCACAAUCCUUUGUACCACAUCGUUAAUUAAAUUGAUAUCUCAACUGUCCAAUCAAUUUAAUAACAUCUUAUUCCUUGAUCCUUACUGAUUUUCUCUAAUGAUCAUUUUCAACAUACUAAAUAUGUUGACACACUCUGGCCAGAGAAUUCUAUGAUCAAGUACCGAAAACCUAUCAAGAGAUGUGUUGUACAAAUUCUAUAUUGUUAAUCCAUAACUCCAAUACUCAUAAUUGCUCCCACCAAGAUACCGGGUAAUCUUGACCACAAGGAUGUGUCGUGCCCAUUGGUAACUCAAAUGAAAUAACAAUCACAAUCAUGAAAUCAUAAUUAACUCAAGAUUAAGAUUACAGUAAAAUCAAC